RNAcentral lists this ribosomal RNA (253 nucleotides) under uncultured bacterium. Its description in RNAcentral is "partial 16S ribosomal RNA". It matches the Rfam family "Bacterial small subunit ribosomal RNA", at positions 524 to 776 of the family's 1533-position model. The record is from RNAcentral.
UACAGAGGGUGCGAGCGUUAAUCGGAAUUACUGGGCGUAAAGCGUGCGCAGGCGGUUUUGUAAGUCUGAUGUGAAAUCCCCGGGCUCAACCUGGGAAUUGCAUUGGAGACUGCAAGGCUAGAAUCUGGCAGAGGGGGGUAGAAUUCCACGUGUAGCAGUGAAAUGCGUAGAGAUGUGGAGGAACACCGAUGGCGAAGGCAGCCCCCUGGGUCAAGAUUGACGCUCAUGCACGAAAGCGUGGGGAGCAAACAGG